RNAcentral lists this ribosomal RNA (301 nucleotides) under uncultured bacterium. RNAcentral's name for it is "partial 16S ribosomal RNA". It matches the Rfam family "Bacterial small subunit ribosomal RNA", at positions 509 to 807 of the family's 1533-position model. The record is from RNAcentral.
CAGUCGCCGCGGGAAUACGAAGGGGGCUAGCGUUGCUCGGAAUUACUGGGCGUAAAGGGAGCGUAGGCGGACUGUUUAGUCAGAGGUGAAAGCCCAGGGCUCAACCUUGGAAUUGCCUUUGAUACUGGCAGUCUUGAGUACGGAAGAGGUAUGUGGAACUCCGAGUGUAGAGGUGAAAUUCGUAGAUAUUCGGAAGAACACCAGUGGCGAAGGCGACAUACUGGUCCGUUACUGACGCUGAGGCUCGAAAGCGUGGGGAGCAAACAGGAUUAGAUACCCCUGUAGUCCCUGUCUCUUAUAC